AGCUCCAAUAGCGUAUAUUAAAGUUGUUGCGGUUAAAAGCUCGUAGUUGGAUUUCUGUCGAAGGCGGGUGGUCUGCAUUUUGUGCAUGUAUCAAUCUGGCUUUGGCAUCUUGUCAGACUCGCGUCUGCGAUUCAGUUCGUGGUGCGAAUUUGACACUUUUACUUUGAGGAAAUUAGAGUGCUCACGGCAGGCAAACGCCUUGAAUACAUUAGCAUGGAAUAAUAAUAUAGGGCCUCGGGUCUAUUUUGUUGGUUUCUAGAGCCGAGGUAAUGAUUAAUAGGGACAAUUGGGGGCAUUCGUAUUAACACGUCAGAGGUGGAAUUCUUGGAUUGUGUUACGACGAACUACUGCGAAAGCAUUUGCCAAGGAUGUUUUCAUUGGUCAAGACGAAAGUUAGGACAG
This 402-nucleotide ribosomal RNA is filed under the name uncultured eukaryote. RNAcentral's name for it is "SSU rRNA". It matches the Rfam family "Eukaryotic small subunit ribosomal RNA", at positions 587 to 998 of the family's 1831-position model. The record is from RNAcentral.